GCAUUAAUGGGGUAGUGGUAACCUGGGUCGUUGCCAUUCGAACGGUUGCAUCCGUCGACCCGCCGGGGGUUCGAUUCCCCCUUAAUGCA
Cytidiella melzeri is the source of this 89-nucleotide non-coding RNA. The record is from the annotation of a GenBank genome assembly. NCBI's taxonomy places the organism in Eukaryota, Fungi, Basidiomycota, Agaricomycetes, Polyporales, Irpicaceae.